AAGUCGUAACAAGGUUUCCGUAGGUGAACCUGCGGAAGGAUCAUUAACACUAUAUCUAUACUACAUUCUUUUUCUUUUCGAAAGAAAGGAAAAAGAAAUUUCACCCCUACUUUUUUAAAGCGAACCAUUUUGUUUUUAAUAAUAAUAUAAUAUGAAAAUAUUAUAUUUUUUUCUUUUUUCUUUUUCUCUAAAUAAAUAAAACCCAAUUGAAACAUUUCUUUGACUGAAUUUUUUUUUAUUACAAAAAACAAAAAAACAACUCUUAGCAACGGAUAUCUUGGCUCUC
This 286-nucleotide unclassified non-coding RNA is filed under the name fungal sp. RNAcentral describes it as "partial internal transcribed spacer region". The stretch from base 1 to 46 matches the Rfam family "Eukaryotic small subunit ribosomal RNA", at positions 1786 to 1831 of the family's 1831-position model. The record is from RNAcentral. Lineage: Eukaryota; Fungi.